RNAcentral lists this transfer RNA (67 nucleotides) under Marmota monax (woodchuck). RNAcentral describes it as "tRNA.Ala". It matches the Rfam family "tRNA". Rfam says of the family: Transfer RNA (tRNA) molecules are approximately 80 nucleotides in length. Their secondary structure includes four short double-helical elements and three loops (D, anti-codon, and T loops). Further hydrogen bonds mediate the characteristic L-shaped molecular structure. tRNAs have two regions of fundamental functional importance: the anti-codon, which is responsible for specific mRNA codon recognition, and the 3' end, to which the tRNAs corresponding amino acid is attached (by aminoacyl-tRNA synthetases). tRNAs cope with the degeneracy of the genetic code in two manners: having more than one tRNA (with a specific anti-codon) for a particular amino acid; and 'wobble' base-pairing, i.e. permitting non-standard base-pairing at the 3rd anti-codon position. The record is from RNAcentral. Lineage: Eukaryota; Metazoa; Chordata; Mammalia; Rodentia; Sciuridae.
GGUUGUGGCUCAGUGGUAGAGCGCUUGCCUAGCAUGCAUGAGGCACUAGGUUCAAUCCCUGGCACCA